RNAcentral lists this ribosomal RNA (253 nucleotides) under uncultured bacterium. RNAcentral describes it as "partial 16S ribosomal RNA". It matches the Rfam family "Bacterial small subunit ribosomal RNA", at positions 524 to 776 of the family's 1533-position model. The record is from RNAcentral.
UACAGAGGGUGCGAGCGUUGUCCGGAAUCACUGGGCGUAAAGGGCGCGUAGGCGGCUGAUUUAGUCGAGGGUGAAAGCCCGUGGCUCAACCACGGAAUGGCCUUCGAUACUGGUUGGCUUGAGACCGGAAGAGGACAGCGGAACUGCGAGUGUAGAGGUGAAAUUCGUAGAUAUUCGCAAGAACACCAGUGGCGAAGGCGGCUCACUGGCCCGAUACUGACGCUGAGGCACGAAAGCGUGGGGAGCAAACAGG